Molecule: long non-coding RNA, 876 nt
Organism: Haliotis rubra (blacklip abalone)
Lineage: Eukaryota; Metazoa; Mollusca; Gastropoda; Lepetellida; Haliotidae
Exons: 2
Source: RefSeq, a predicted model, not a curated record
GUCACUUUUUGCAUCGUGUAUUAGUGCAUAUAACAUUACCACUUUGCAUUGUGUCUGUGGUUACAUCAUUACCACCUUGCAUUAAGUAUACAUAGAUACGUUACACCUUGUGUCGGUGGAUAUAACAUUGUCACGUGGUAUUAUAAAUCCAUUGAUAUAACAUGUAAACCUGCAGUAAUAUAAUAAUCAACUGCACAUGGCCUUUCAGCAAAACAGUGUCCAAUAAUGUCAAGGUCGUGGCAUCUCACUGUACGGCAAUUGUCUGGGUUAUGAUCUGUACAGUUUGUACAGUUUCUCAAUGUGGUGGUGUCGUGGUAACUGUCUUUGUCAUCAAAUUUAACUGUGCGAAAUAUUUGAGUGUUAUUAUGGUAAUUUGUCGGGAUCAUGAUGUUUAACUUACACAAUUUGAUAUUAUGAUAUCCAACUGCUCAAAACUUUCUUGUCAGUGUCAUCAUAUUCAAGUGUACAUAACAAGGCACUAGUAUGACAUGUGGGUUUUAAAAACACGCCCGGGGGUACAUCACCUAGUUGCUCUUAUCUUAAAAUUAAUAUAAUUAAAUAAUUUAAUAUUAAUUUUCUAUAGUGACAGUGCUUCCUUCAGCAGCUUUGUUUGUUUGUUUAUUUUGUUUGUUGUAACAUCCUGGCUUGUCAUGAGUAUUUUAUCUUGAAGGAAUAGGACGAUGGUAAAUGUGUUGUAUCCGGAAUUGGUAUCGGAACAUCUCGCAGAUCAACUUUGUUUUCACGGGAAUAGAAGCAUGGUCACAGGAGCCAAGCUUGUCCAACGAAAUAGCAGUCAUCGUAAAACUUCCCCACGAGCUAACAACCACAGGGAACAAGGGACACUAAGGGAACACAAUAAAUCCUUUACUUUGCUAA